CCUACGGGUGGCAGCAGUAGGGAAUCUUUCACAAUGGGCGAAAGCCUGAUGGAGCAACGCCGCGUGCAGGAUGAAGGCCUUCGGGUUGUAAACCUCUGUCUUUGGGGAAGAAAAUGACGGUACCCAAAGAGGAAGCUCCGGCUAACUACGUGCCAGCAGCCGCGGUAAUACGUAGGGAGCGAGCGUUGUCCGGAAUUACUGGGUGUAAAGGGAGCGUAGGCGGGCGAGAAAGUUGAAUGUUAAAUCUACCGGCUUAACUGGUAGCUGCGUUCAAAACUUCUUGUCUUGAGUGAAGUAGAGGCAGGCGGAAUUCCUAGUGUAGCGGUGAAAUGCGUAGAUAUUAGGAGGAACACCAGUGGCGAAGGCGGCCUGCUGGGCUUUAACUGACGCUGAGGCUCGAAAGCGUGGGGAGCAAACAGGAUUAGAUACCCUGGUAGUC
Molecule: ribosomal RNA, 439 nt
Filed under: uncultured bacterium
Lineage: Bacteria
Description: partial 16S ribosomal RNA
Rfam family: Bacterial small subunit ribosomal RNA
Source: RNAcentral